CUUACAAAAUUUCAAUGAGACGAUUGGAUGAAAGCUAUUGGGUGCACUUUUAUUAUACAUAAAAUAGCGUCAGUAGUGUGUUUGCAAAACCUAAAAUUUUUUUACAGCAUAAUCCUCAUUUAUCGAAGAUUACAAGAACGGAGCGCUAGCAGAGUCAUAACUGGCUUUAAAACAUCUAAUACAAUCCAAGUAAUCUAUUUAGACUGAAUUUAUUUCGAUUUUAAUUUAUAGGAAGAACCUCAUCUGUUCUUCAAGAUAAAGGAUAUUAACAUAUCCAACUUCCAAAUUACUAAGAGCCAAAUUAAAUCUUUCUCCAUUCUCCAAGAAAUAAACAAAGAUCUAAUAAUGAAAUAUCAGUUCUUCUUUGGAGAUGUAGCAACAACAACUUCAAUAAAUUUAACUAAACAUAUUCAAAUACUACACCCAACUCAUACAUGUGGACGUUUCCAGAAGUGCAUUUAGGGAUAGUACGUAAUACGCAACACUGCAGCAAAGUGUAAAUAUAUGAAUAUAACUGAAUGAAAAUACCAGUCUUAAUCUUAACCAUCAAGGGGCGUGUUAUAGAUUCAAACUUUCAAACAGCAAUUUUCCUUUUUCCAAAGCAAUUAUUUUCAAUAAUUUGCCUUUAAUCCUUGGUGUUAUAGUAUCUUUAUUAUACUGUUUUCUGUUCUUAUUCAUACCUUUUCUGGAUGGCUUGAAAUGCAUAAAAUUACAGUAGACGCAAAAUCAUUUAUUAUCCUUUAAAAAGUCAUUUAGCAAAAUACCAACGAUCUUGUGCUAACUUAUCCUUAAAAAGAUAAAAUGAAUAAAAUUGUGGAUUUUGUCUCAGAAAUUCAAAGAAAAUAGGAAUUUUAUUGAUCAUCACAAAAUAAAUUAAGCAAAAACCAUACAUUUUUUUCAACUGUGUCCACAGUUUCCUAGUUGGAUUUGAAAGAAAGGCUCACUUUCAUUUGAGCACAAAUUGUUACCAAAUGAGUGCUCAGCAUGCUAGUACCACAGCGGGUACAUAACCGGCGCAGGCGAAUGAGGUAGAUCGUGCCAGAAAAUGUCUGACAUUUGAGAAUGCAACAAGAACACCACCGAAGCAGUUUCGUUAAGUUUUAGGAAAAAAUCAAGGAUAUGAAGUAGAUAUGGUUAAACAUAAUUAUCUAUAACAUGUGAUUGAAGUUUUAGAAAAUGUAU
This is an RNA transcript of Teleopsis dalmanni, 1182 nucleotides long. RefSeq lists it as uncharacterized. The record is from RefSeq and is a predicted model, not a curated record. Lineage: Eukaryota; Metazoa; Arthropoda; Insecta; Diptera; Diopsidae. The transcript is spliced from 4 exons.